ACAGACCUAAAAAACCAUACAGCUAUUACGUUUCGGGGCUAGAAAGUCCACACUUUCCCUAUCAGCAACAACACACUACAGCAGAAUAGCACUUCAUAUUAUUUUUCUUUUCUCUCCGCCGGUAACGCCAUCGGUAAUCGGAGGUAAGGACAACACGAUAGCAGAGAUAGAAAGAGUUUAGCUAUAGAGGGUAAGUCUCUUUACUCAUUCUCGUAGUCUAUGUAUGUGCGUAUUGAGUGAGUAUUUUGAAGUGUAUGAAUGUUAGUAAUGGUGAUACUAAAUAACGCGCCAACUGUUUGUUAAGAUGUCCCUGUGAAUGCUAUAAUCCCUUUUAAAGGUUUUGGAUUGUUUUUAGUGUUUACCAAUGUACCAUUAAAAGAUUAGAUUUUGUUUACUAUGUACUUGAGUUUUUGCUCACUUAAAGUGUUAUUGACUAUUGAGAUCGAAUUAAAGAAGUUUGCUUAUUUACGGAUAUUUACUUUUUUAUUCUGAAUUUCCUGCUCACAUUCUUGUUAUAGGUUUUGCCAUUUCAUUAUUCAAGCUUCUCUUUAUUCAUUAUUGAUUUUUAAUGACAACUCCUACACUUUGGUCUUUUUUCUUCAAUUCAUUCUUUAAGAAAGAAUUACUUUUUCCUUUCUCGUAUUCUCUCAACCUACUAUAUACAAGAGUCCGAAUACUCCCAAUGCUGAAUGCAUAAUUUCAAGCAAGAUAUACCUCAUGACUAAUAUUUUUAUCUACUAAAUCUUAAUGUGGGAUGCAUCUCUUCUCGGGUGAAUGAAAAUGUUGAGACCUUGUAUAGUGUUGAACCUAAAUAGAUCCUGCAUCGGAGCAGAUGAUGUCAAGUUCUCUUUGAGAUGAUGACAUAUAUUCUUGAUUUUGAAAGUGAUCAUAAUGAUCCGCAUUGAAACUUGCUAAAAAGACGCACAUGGUGUUUGUGUAAUUCUGUAAUUAAGCACACCUAGAGGGGGUAAAUAGGUGUAAAUACUCAAAAGUGAUAUACAGAGGCCAAUUUUUAAAGUUUACUAUAGCAGACUAUAAUCGGACGGUCUAACGGUUAUAAACGGAUAGCUAAUACCUGUCCUCUAGUCUAGUAGCCUUAAAGCUUAAAAACAGAAACACAAGAAAAGUAAAUUACACCGAGAUUUUUUACGUGGUUCAACCCCUAUCCUCUAGUCUAGUAGCCUAAUCCACGUCCAAUCCCAACUAGGAUUGGAGACUCACUUUAUUAAAAUAAUACUCAGCAAUUACAAAGUAAAUAACUCCCUGUUACAACGACGAUCGAUUGGACACCUCUGCCCCCUUUGCACCUCUGCAACACCUCUCACCUCUGAGACUUUGAUAGCUUCGUUGUACAGACUGAAUAUUACUAAAAUAAAAACCCCAAGCCAACCUAAACUUGUACUAUAUUUACAAUAGAUAUGAAAUAAGUCAAGAACACUGUAAACCAAGACUAAAAGAGUGAUAUGAUGAUUUGUGUGUAUCUUGGAUAGCUUUCUUGAAGAGUUUCUGUUCAGUAGUCUCUUGUGCUUCCAAUGCCGAGCUAAGCAGUAUAUAUAAAGUAGAGUAGAGCAACGGCUAUGUCAUCAACAUUCCAAUGCAACGGCUAUGUCAAAGUAAUGUUCUUAAUUUAAAUAGGAGAUAUCUGUUAGUUAAAAAAUCUCAACCUUCAAUAAACACUAACAGAUAAGAUAUAAGAUAGAGUCCAAAAUAGAUAGAGUUAAUGAAUAUUCAAAAUAUAGUAAAUAGAGUCCAAAUCUGUUAGUAUGAAAACAACUACUCUAUUUACUAUGAAAAAGGAAUCCUUAAUUAUACCAAUUCCUAAAAAAUCUCUAAGCCAAAUACGAAUUGGUAACCAAACAGAUAACAUAUAUAUAACCCAGCAAUUCAAAAAUAUGAGAUUUCUAGUUAUAUUAGAUUCCAUAAAAACUAAAGCACGUGGUAACCAUAUAUAUAUAUAUAUAUAACAGAUAACAUAUAUAUAUAUAUAUAUAUAUAUAUAUAUAUAUAUAUAUAUAUAUAUAUAUAUAUAUUGGAAAGAUAUAACCCAACUUGUUUUAGUCACUCUCCAUCCUGCAGUAAACUUUUAUGCCAUACAAAGUGAUUAUGAAAUCAAUCCAUGCAACAAUCCAUGCAAACUAUUAUAUAAUUAAUAUGUAACCCAAAUAAAUCAAAUAAGACCAUUACACAAACCCAAAUAUAUUGUCAUUAUUAAAAUCACAAAAGAUAUAAACCAACAUUCUCCCCCUUUUUGAUGAUGACAAUAUAUUAUCUUUUGAAUUUAUAUACUCCCCCUAUCUAUAAGGCUCCCCCUAAAUUUAUGCAUAUUAAGGAGCAAAAAAAAUGACUUGAUCCAAAUAACCAUCAUUGCAUAUAGUAUCUCACUACCAACAUGAAUUACAAUUCAAACCAAUUCAAAUACCAAAUAUCUCUCCCCCUUUGUCAUAAAAAAAAAUUAAUUCAUAUCAAUUUAGCAAGCUUAUAACAAAAUCACAUAUAACAAAUAAACAAAAUGAUCAUACAUUUGUGAUUUGUUACCUAUAUAUCAAUAUUGUUGUUACCAAUAGUAAACUUGCUAGAUGUGCUCAGAAGUUUUCAAUUUUGGAUUUUCAUAAUCAAAUCUCUUCAAAAACACUUCUUUUGAUCAUCCCAAUGUGGAGGUCACUUAUAAUCAAAUUUGGGGAAUGAUUUCUUACAAUUCGAGAUGAUCUAGGAAGCUUUGCAAUGGUCAUCUGUUCGUUAGAUUCAAAUUGUGAUAUAUCAAAUUCUGUAUCUGAUUUUUCUUCUAAAUCGGACGGGUCUUGCUGUUUGUUUUUCGGUGUCUGCAUGUCUGAGUUUUCUACUAAAACGGACGGGUUAGGCUGUCUGAUUUCAGCUGUCUUUCCUUCUGAUUCGGACGGCUUAGGCUGUCUGAUUUCAGCUGCCUUUCCAUCUAAUUCGGACGGCUUAGGCUGUUCGGAUUUAGCAGUUUGGCUUCUACGACUCAAAUUGUUAUUUCAGAUUCCGCCAAAUAAUUUAUAGAUAACUACUAUUCGUCUCCUUUUUGAUCUUGAGACAUCUACAAAAUGAACAAAUAGUCUCUACCUUGUUGGUACCCAAAUCUUCUUGGGUCCUUUUGGGUUAAUAGCAUAUAAAUCACAUUUUUUUACCCAAAUUUAUUUUAUUCUAAUUUUAUUACAAUUAGAAUCAAAAUGACCUUUAGAACCAUAUUUUUUACAAGUAACAAACGCUGAAUAAUAAAGUGGUUUAAACCUUGAUUUACUAUUAAUCAUUCUAAUAUUAUGAUUAGUUAUAUUUUUCACAUUUUUAAUAAGAUUAUACCCAAUUCCUUGUUUAUCAAGACUAAACCUUUGUGCUCCUAACAUAACAUUUAAAUUCUCUUCCCCUUGAACAAAUUUUGCAAGAUCCUUUUUCAAUGAAAUUAUUUCUUCCUCAUUAUUAUUUUGCAUGUUUAAUAUUUUCCCAUCAUUAAAAGCAUCAAUACAAGUAUCUCUCAUUUUCAAACUUUCUUUUAAAACAUCAUUUUCCUUUUUAAGAUCAUUGAAUUCUUCAUUUAAUUUGUUUGCACAAUUAUAUAGAAUUUUAUUAUAGUUAUUAAGAUAAUCAAUUUUAGCAUUUAACUCAGAUAUUUCACUUGAUGUGCAAUUUUAUCUAUUUCUUGUUUUUCUUCAAUUAAUGUUUCUACCGCUUUUAUUAAAUCAUUUAUCCAAUUUUUUAAAUGAGCAUUUUUGUCUUUAAUACGAAUAUUUUCAUUCUUUAAAACUUGAUAAUCAGAAAUAGUAAUAUCACCAAGUUCAGAGUUUACCUCGGAUGAUUCUUGAUUACAUAAUCCAGUGAAACACAGUUGAGCAGUUUCAUCUUCUUGUAUCGUUUCGGACUUACUCACUGGAGUUGAGCUACCUUUUUGAUUUUUCCUUUGUUUCUUCAUUUGAAGUAGUCUCUCGAGUUUUCUUGAAAGCAUUUCAAUUUUUUCAUCAAAAUCUUCGUGAUCACUUUCAUUAUUGCUCUCGACUUGAAGUGUUAAUGUUUUUUUUAUUGGUGCUUCAUCCUCUUUAUCAUACCUCUUUAGUUGAUUUUCGAAUUCUUCAAGCUCUCCAAACAAAGUUAGAGUUUCCAUCGAACUGAUUGUAGUCGAGUCUUGAAGAGUUGUAACCUUUGGUGCGAACCGUUUGGGCAUGACUCUAAGUAUCUUUCUAUUUAUCUCCCUUUGAUCAAUUUUCCGGCCGAGCAUACUUAGAGAGUUCAUAAGAGUGAGGAAUCUCCAUUGAGCUUCAUUAAUUGUUUCAUCCUUUUCUAACUUUUAUAGCUCAUAGUCUUGCAUUAGCAUACUUAACUUCACCUCUUUUACUUUGGAAGUACCUUCGUGGCUUGUCAUGAUAGUAUCCCACAUUUCUUUUGUUGUAUUGCAUGAUAAUACUUUAUCAAUUUCAGCUUGGACCAUUCCGCUUAGCAAGGUGUUCAUGGCUCUUGAGUUGUAAGAAAACAAGUAGCUUUCAUUUUCAUCCAUGUCCAUGAGAGUCUUGAGUCUACCAUCAUCAUGUCUAGGAAUAACAGGUCCAUUUUCAACUACCCACCAUUCUCAUGGGUCUCUUUUAAGAAAAAUAUUCAUUCUGAACUUCCAAAAGUUGAAGUUUUCGCUUCCUAUCAACAGAGGUGGUCGGCUUGUGGAUUAACCCAACUUGUUUUAGUCACUCUCCAUCCUGCAGUAAACUUUUAUGCCAUACAAAGUAAUUAUGAAAUCAACCCAUGCAACAAUCCAUGCAAACUAUUAUAUAAUUAAUAUGUAGUCCAAAUAAAUCAAAUAAGACCAUUACACAAACUCAAAUAUAUUGUCAUUAUUAAAAUCAUAAAAGAUAUAAACCAACAGUUUGGUGAUCUAGAGGCUUUAGUUAAGUAAGUCGAGUAGCAACCGACUCACUCAAAAUACAUGGUAGGUGAAACAAAUCGGGUCAAACCUCAAUCCGGAACAAAUCUAGGGUCAAAUUCCAAAUCCGAAUCGAAUCAAAUCCAUCUAAAUAAGGCCUUAAACCAUUAGCAUCCUUAUAUACAGACAAUUUUUUCCUUCUCUAGCUAUUGUGGAAUAAUACCGGUUAGUUUCGUGUCCCCACCUCCAGAUCACCCUCUCUCUAUUGUGGGAUAAUACCACCAUCUUUCGUGUUCCCACCUCCAGUAACCUGAUUGGAUGACCCGACCUGAGCUUUCGAGAGUCGGCUCUAAACAAAUCUCGGUUCAAAUCUCAAGUCCGAAUCUAAUCAAAUCCAUCUAAAUAAGGCCUUAAACCACUAACACAAUAAUAUCUUAUUGUUAGUAAAGUGAAUGGAUACUAUAUAUAUAUAUAUUAACUUAUCUCAAAACUGUAAAAUUUAAUUUGUCAAGGCUAGUACUUAGUACUUGAUACUAUGUCCUUAAGACAAUUAUAUCCUCUGUACGGUGCUCGGAGUUGAUAACACUUGUCUCCCAUGAUACAAUAACUACGUAUACUAUAGUAGCACUCCAAAUAGUAUACUCAACGAACCAAAAUAAAUGCUCUGAUUCUCUUUUAAAAAUAAACUAACUGACUUAUGAAAUGAAGAAUAGUAAAAGACUAGAAUGCUUGAAUGCUUGUGAAUUUAAUGAAUUCGAAUGGCAGCACCCCCAUCUAUUUAUAGGAGGGUUAGUGACCCAUCAGAAAGGACACAACCCACUGAAAAGGUACAAUUAAGUCAAAAACGACGUAGUUUUUGGCUUUAACAGAAAGGGUGCGUCCGUUCGUGAUAAGAACAACGUAGUUUAGGCUUAGCAGAAUAAGGCGCGUACAAGGACCCAGAACCUUGAACCAAAAACGACGUAGUUUUGGGGCGUCCGUUCAGACAUAUAGUGCUUCCCAAAACGACGCAAUAUUAACGCGUCCAUUCGGCAGAUAACGCUUUCAAAAACUACACAGUGUUGAUAAUAAAUAACAUUUAUCAAUACGACACAGUUUUGAUAAUAGAACUAAAUAAAUAAAAUUUUAAAUAAAAUUUUUAAAUAAAUUUUGUCCAAAAAAUUAUGUACAAGGACCCAGAACCUUGAACCACGAGCCCGUGCACGAGUCAGGCCAGGCCGACCAGUCGGUCGGUCAGUCGGCAGCGCGCGUGUGGAUUCAAACCAAGCCUUGGCUAGGUCAUCUCCCUUCCACAAAAUUGGGGUGCCUCUUGGAGUCCAAACUCAAGAGCAACUUUCUUGUAUAUAAACAUAUUAAAUUUUUAGUUUUUAACCGAUGUGGGACUUAGCUUCCCACAUUUAUUUAUUAUCAUUUCUAAGAGUGAUCUUUGGGAGUUAAUAUCUCAUUUAUUACUCUAUAGAUUUGACCUUCCAAAUACUUAAUUUAAUCUACUCAUGGAGUAGAAUACAUUAAUAUGUGGAUUCACUCUAAAUAGUUAAUAAAACCCACUUUAAUUUUGGCUCAAAUUCUAACGAUUCUUAGGUCAUCUUAGCCCACCACAGACUCAUUUAAAAGGUCAUGACCGAAGGUGUUAUUGUUAAUAACUUAAUUCCUUAUAUACAGAAAAAAAUUUCUCAUACCUUUUGAUGUGGGACUGGGGUGUUGCAGUAGGUGCUGCACCAUUGGAACCAUUCCACAAAGCAUGCCAAAAGCUCAAAAGUUUAUUCUAGUGAUGUUGGUGAAAGUCAAAAGUACACGCACUCUGCUGCACAACGGAGGGAGUUUUGCCGAAAUGUGCUGAUAACAGGAAUCAUAACAUUUCAUCUCUUGUCACUAUUAAGCCUGAAACAUUACCCUUCCAAGAUUGUUGAAUUGUAAAACCUGACUUUUCAGUCUAAAGAUACUGGCUUUCCUAUGGUGGAUUAGUGGUUCUAAGUUCUUCUAUUUGAUCAGACUUUCCAAUAACCUAAGAAGGUCCUGUAUCAGAAGGACUCUUUUUGUGGAAUGAAGGGAGUAUGUCAGAUGUCAGAGUAUAUCAAUAUUACCAAGUACAAUAUUGUUUUUUCUAAAAUUAAUAUAUAUUCAUAUCAAAGUAACUCAGAUCAAACUCAAAUUGGACUCUUUGUGGAAUGGAGGAAGUAUAUAAUAUUAUAUAUCAAACCCUUGCACUGCUUUACUUUGCCCGUCACAUACUCGAUCUAGAAGGACCUUUAGUUUGGUUUAUACUGUAAGAAUCAUCAUAAUGCCACAAAAGCCCGUCACCUUCUCUCGCUUUGUUCAUACUUCAUUCGAUGGCCCUUGCUCUAUUUCCAAGGCCAAGAGCCAGAUUCGUAACUCCAAAACUUGUAGAAAAAUUUCUCCCACCACUUCAAGUAACUAUAAAGCAAUAAAUUAUUCUACAAGUGAUGUACCUUUCUACCUAAAGUAUUUUCUGUUUAUUUUUUGGUAUGGUCUUACUCAGUCAGACUAACUGCUACUGUUGUUUAGUUUCUUUGAUAUCAAUCCUAAAGUGAUUCUAUUUACAAAAUGCUUUCUAGGUAAGGAGUUUGUACAUGUUGCCAUGGAUGAUAAGAGUAAACUGCAUAAAUCUUUUGAUGAUGAAAAAAUCCAAGUAAGCUAAUUAUUAAAAAACUAUAAUCACAAAUGACCCAUUGAGAUUCAAUUUUUGUAUCAUAGUUGUUUCAGUCGCUCAGAUUUAUUCCAUGACUUACUUGGGAUUUAUAAUUACAAUCACGAACAUUUACUUUUCAUUUUUCCUUGCCUUGGGGCUUAAAAUGAUGUUCACUUGUAUAUCACUUUUCUUUAUUUAUCUUAUUUUCUUGUUAUGAAUUUCAGAAGAUGUUUACUUGUGUAUUUACCUAUUGCUGUUCUCCUUUCUGAAGCUGACAGAAGAACUCCGACAAUCUUAUGCUUUAAGUAUUAUCUGUUGCUGUUGGUCAGUAAGACAUGCAUGGUAAAAACAUUUUACCCUUCUGUUUGUAUUUUUUAAUAUUGAUUUCCAUCUAAUUCACACUUGGGCAUGACAUUUUUUUUGUCCUUCCCGUUUAUACGUUAACCUAUAGCAUUAUUUAACAGGUUUCCAUAGUUUUACUCUCCUGUUAUCUUGAUACUACACUAUACAGAGGAUUCUUGUUGAAGGAUGCCUAUUUUUUUGCUUGGCACUUACAGGCACAAAGAUUUAUUUCGAUCACGAUCUUCCUGAUUUCUGUAGUAGAAAAAUUUUGUAUGGUAUUUUACCUUUUGUUUCAUAAUUGGACCCAAUUAAUUUGCCGUGAAACUAGUUUUCUAAAUUGGGUUGAAGAUAAAGGUUUUCUUAGUUAUUGAAGUAGUAUAUUUUACGUCUGUUAUAUAUUUUGUCCCAUGUUUGUAGAUUCUGGGAGGACCAUUAACGUCCUCGGGAAAAAAUAAAUCUUCAUCUACCC
RNAcentral lists this long non-coding RNA (8322 nucleotides) under Panax ginseng (ginseng). RNAcentral describes it as "long non-coding RNA (PGIN_LNC010161)". Lineage: Eukaryota; Viridiplantae; Streptophyta; Magnoliopsida; Apiales; Araliaceae. The record is from RNAcentral.